GUUGGGUGUCUGCUUCCAGUUUAGAAGACCUCUUUGCCAGGAACAAAUGCUGACUAUUUGAUCUGCUCUGGGAUCCAUUCAAGAUUCUGUUUACCCAGCUUUUGCUCUGAAUUGUAACGUUAUAGAUUACCAACUUAACUUACCAACCACUACAGAACUGGUGAUUCAUGUCUGAAGCAGUCUUUCAGUACCAGCUGCAGUCCUACAGGUGGUAAAUCUUCUCUAUUUUCAGAGCAUCCCUGGGAAGAGCCCUGGAGUGAAGGAGGAGAAGCACAGGGGGUGGUGUGGCGCUGAACAGAGCCUGGAAAUGCUAUCUCUCUCAAAAUGCUGUACUCCAGGGAGCCCUGAAAGCUGCUGCAACCUAUCUCAGAAAAUGCUAUGUCAGAAAGAGAAAUAGAUUUUUUUCCUAAACUUCCUUGAAUUCUAAAGACAACAUUUAAGGCAAUCCUAAGAAGUAGCCACAGAAUGUAUGUGACUUUUUUCCUUUUUUUUUUUUUCCUUUUUUUUUUUUUUUUUUAAGUGCUUGUCUGAAAAUACUGCCUGAUAUGCCUGGAGAGAACCUUGGAGUACCAAAGGAAAUACUUGUGUCAUUGGCUUACUAAAUGAAUAGUAACUCUAUGGAUGUCAGAAUGAUUCAGGUGAUCACCAUUUAUAUCUUCCUCUUACUUCAUUUAGGUUUGCUCACUUUGCCCACAGGAGAUGGUGAAUAAGCCCCCUUCCAUCAUACUUGCUCUCCAGACAGACACCCAGGAGUCACCCGCAUCACCAGAUUCUGCAGAGGGCAGCAUUAAGAGCCAGGGUGAUACAUCAUUUUUUCCUGUCCAAUGCUGCUCUCUGUUGAAUGAAGUUGUAGGCAGCACAUCACGUUUGCAGUAUAUAUUGAUUUACGAUUUCAAAGUGCUGAACAAACAACCCAUUCUUCCAAGCAGACCACAGAUAAUGACUCAUUAGCUCCAAUUUAAUAUGCAGGAAAAGUGGGAGGACAAUGGUUGCACAAUUAAUCUGCUAGGCCACAGGGCAUUAAGGAUGCCAUGCUCAUCUGCUCCGCCAAUGGAGCUGCAUUAGCUCCACUGCUUGAAGCACCCAAGUGGAGGAGAAGAAAGAACCCCUUCAGCUCCUCUGUGCUGCUGCAUUCUGGGGUUUGACACCUCCUGUGCACAUUUUUUGUCCUGUUAGUCGAUGCACUGGCAUUGAACUCCACAUCUGGCUUGUGCUUUUUCUACAGCAGCUGAAAUGCAGUUUCUUGUCUUCCCAGGGAAAGGAUGCAUUGCAAGGAAAUGCUCAGUUGGAUUGUUUUCGCUUCCUUCUUUCUUUGACAGUUUUGUCUUUCCAUGGGCUGCCCUUCUGUCAGAUGUGUCUCCUUUCUGCUGGAGAACUUGGUGUCAAAUCAAACUGUACUGGGACAAAAAUAAGCCAAUUGAGUGAGUAAAUAGUUGCCUGGAAAGACCAGGUACCAUCAAACAAAUAUGUUUAAAAUUGACACAAGAUGCUGUUUUCCUGCUCUGAUAGACUCAUACCCAUGCUUUAAUUGUAUCCAAACAACCAUCUGCUAUGAAAAGCAGUGCACUUGCUUUGCUGAUGUAAUCCUUAUCGGAGACUGGGAAAGCCUUGUUCUGCUUUGGGAAGCCAAGAUGCUAGGAACAUUUAUUUCAUUCAUAGUAAUGCACUUCUAAAACAUACCUUUAGGCAAACAUUUGUGCAUUUUAGUACAAAUAUUCAUCGAGGACACAUAUUCUUGGUUGUUUGCCCACAUAGAUAUGAAUAGCAUUUGAUACAUACUCAUUCUUAGUAACUCUCAAGGUUUUCUGCCUUUUCCCUUUGUCACUGAUGAAAGCAGAUAUUUGUCAGUAAAUAUUGUGUUUGGGCACACCAACAUUUCAAGAUACUGCCUGAAAAUGUGUGUUGAAGGUGUAAAGAAUUGAGGAGAAACAAGAGAAAGAAAAAUGAAAGAAGCCUUUCCUCGAUGAAUAAAAUGGGUUUUUCUGUUUUUGUAACUCAAAACAUGCGUAGGUGAAUGAAUUCUACACAAAUUCAGCUUCAGGCAGAGCCUGGGAAAAGGUGGUGAAAGUACUGGAAAAGUGUGCUCUGUAAUGAAGUCUCCUAGAUUUUAACAUUGGUGAAUUUGCAUAUAAUUAAAAGGUAAUGGAACAUGAUAUUUCCUUUAGUUCCCAUCUAAGCUAAAACAGUAGAAAGUGUAAUUUAUUAAAAAGAGCAUAAGCAGCAUUUUCCCUUCCUUUAAUCAGACCUAUGACAAUCAGAAAAAUCAAAAGUAAAUCUAAACCACAUGUGUAUAAUUCAAAACAUAAACAGAUUCUUUAGCUUAUAUACAUACUGUGAGAAAAUAGUUGGGUAAAUAGCAUCAUUGUGCUCCUGGGAAACAAUGGCAGAGACAUUGUAUGGCUGAAUUUUCAGAGACUGAAAUUUCUUUACAGAGCAACCUAUAAAAAUUUAUUGUCUAAAUCUUGCUGUAAAAUCUAUCAUGUUAUGGGCAUUUUGAUCAUACUGAAUUAAUCCUUCUCUCUCUUCUCUCUCUCUCUCUUUUUUUUUUUAAUGGGUACUUCAACAGUCAUGGG
RNAcentral lists this long non-coding RNA (2573 nucleotides) under Gallus gallus (chicken). RNAcentral's name for it is "lncRNA (ENSGALG00010006607.1)". The record is from RNAcentral. Lineage: Eukaryota; Metazoa; Chordata; Aves; Galliformes; Phasianidae.